Molecule: ribosomal RNA, 435 nt
Filed under: uncultured bacterium
Lineage: Bacteria
Description: bacterial SSU rRNA
Rfam family: Bacterial small subunit ribosomal RNA
Source: RNAcentral
UGACUGUACCUGGUAAAGAAACCCCGGCUAACUCCAUGCCAGCCCCCGCGGUAAUACGGAGGGGGUUAGCGUUGUUCGGAAUUACUGAGCGUAAAGCGCGCGUAUGCGGACUGGAAAGUUGGGGGUGAAAUCCCAGGGCUCAGCCCUGGAACUGCCUCCUAAACUAUCAAUCUAGAGUUCAAGAGAGGUGACUGGAAUUCCGAGUGUAUAGGUGAAAUUCGUAGAUGUUCGGAGGAACACCAGUGGCUAAGGCGGCUCACUGGCUCGAUACUGACGCUGACGUGCGAAAGUGUGGGGAGCAAACAGGAUUAGAUACCCUGGUAGUCCACACCGUAAACGAUGAAUGCCAGUCGUCGGGUAUCAUGCUAUUCUGUGACACACCUAACGGAUUAAGCAUUCCGCCUGGGGAGUACGGUCGCAAGAUUAAAACUCAAG